CAGCAGCCGCGGGAAUACGUAGGGUGCAAGCGUUAAUCGGAAUUACUGGGCGUAAAGCGUGCGCAGGCGGUUUGUUAAGACAGAUGUGAAGUCCCCGGGCUCAACCUGGGAACUGCAUUUGUGACUGGCAAGCUAGAGUGUGGCAGAGGGGGGUGGAAUUCCGCGUGUAGCAGUGAAAUGCGUAGAGAUGUGGAGGAACACCGAUGGCGAAGGCAGCCCCCUGGGCCAAUACUGACGCUCAUGCACGAAAGCGUGGGGAGCAAACAGGAUUAGAUACCCCAGUAGUCCCUGUCUCUUAUAC
Molecule: ribosomal RNA, 301 nt
Filed under: uncultured bacterium
Lineage: Bacteria
Description: partial 16S ribosomal RNA
Rfam family: Bacterial small subunit ribosomal RNA
Source: RNAcentral